CAUCCCUAAGCUAGGGCAAGCAAGAGAGCAAAGCAAGAGGGUGCUAGGACUUGAGAAAGGGAGGAGCUCAUGAGAGCUAGAUCAUGAGGAGCUUGAGGAUUCAUCAAAUUUGCUAAGGUAAGAGAUUAGAAUUUAUGAUUCUUGAGUGGCAAGGAGAGGGGAGAUUGUCUAUGUCUCCAUUCCCGAACUCUCCCACUCAAUUUCUUUUUAGACUUUUGAUUAAGCUUUUGUAUGUGAGUGUGAUGUUCUUCAUCAUCACUUUGUAUGUGUUAAUCACUAGCUUGACUUCAUGAAAAAUAUGUAUGUAUUUGAAUCAUGUUUGAAAAGUUUAUGAAAGUUACUUAAAACCCAAGAAAUUGGCAUGAUUUUGAUCGUUUGAUGUAUUUGGAGGUUUGUAAGGGAUGAUUAAUGUUCCUUGAUAUCAUAUAUGCUUGGAAUUGUUGUUUAAGAGAAUUUAUAACAUGUUUGAAUGAAUUUUUGAGCUGAUCCAAUGUUAAACCGCCUUAGAA
This 509-nucleotide long non-coding RNA is filed under the name Trifolium pratense (red clover). Its description in RNAcentral is "long non-coding RNA (TPRA_LNC007129)". Lineage: Eukaryota; Viridiplantae; Streptophyta; Magnoliopsida; Fabales; Fabaceae. The record is from RNAcentral.